GUGAACUGGCGCGUGCUAUACAUGCAAGUCGAACGCUUCUUUUUCCACCGGAGCUUGCUCCACCGGAAAAAGAGGAGUGGCGAACGGGUGAGUAACACGUGGGUAACCUGCCCAUCAGAAGGGGAUAACACUUGGAAACAGGUGCUAAUACCGUAUAACAAUCGAAACCGCAUGGUUUUGAUUUGAAAGGCGCUUUCGGGUGUCGCUGAUGGAUGGACCCGCGGUGCAUUAGCUAGUUGGUGAGGUAACGGCUCACCAAGGCCACGAUGCAUAGCCGACCUGAGAGGGUGAUCGGCCACAUUGGGACUGAGACACGGCCCAAACUCCUACGGGAGGCAGCAGUAGGGAAUCUUCGGCAAUGGACGAAAGUCUGACCGAGCAACGCCGCGUGAGUGAAGAAGGUUUUCGGAUCGUAAAACUCUGUUGUUAGAGAAGAACAAGGAUGAGAGUAACUGUUCAUCCCUUGACGGUAUCUAACCAGAAAGCCACGGCUAACUACGUGCCAGCAGCCGCGGUAAUACGUAGGUGGCAAGCGUUGUCCGGAUUUAUUGGGCGUAAAGCGAGCGCAGGCGGUUUCUUAAGUCUGAUGUGAAAGCCCCCGGCUCAACCGGGGAGGGUCAUUGGAAACUGGGAGACUUGAGUGCAGAAGAGGAGAGUGGAAUUCCAUGUGUAGCGGUGAAAUGCGUAGAUAUAUGGAGGAACACCAGUGGCGAAGGCGGCUCUCUGGUCUGUAACUGACGCUGAGGCUCGAAAGCGUGGGGAGCAAACAGGAUUAGAUACCCUGGUAGUCCACGCCGUAAACGAUGAGUGCUAAGUGUUGGAGGGUUUCCGCCCUUCAGUGCUGCAGCUAACGCAUUAAGCACUCCGCCUGGGGAGUACGACCGCAAGGUUGAAACUCAAAGGAAUUGACGGGGGCCCGCACAAGCGGUGGAGCAUGUGGUUUAAUUCGAAGCAACGCGAAAGAACCUUACCAGGUCUUGACAUCCUUUGACCACUCUAGAGAUAGAGCUUCCCCUUCGGGGGCAAAGUGACAGGUGGUGCAUGGGUUGUCGUCAGCUCGUGUCGUGAAAAUGUUGGGUUAAGUCCCCGCAACAAGCGGA
RNAcentral lists this ribosomal RNA (1100 nucleotides) under Enterococcus faecium. RNAcentral's name for it is "bacterial SSU rRNA". It matches the Rfam family "Bacterial small subunit ribosomal RNA", at positions 29 to 1100 of the family's 1533-position model. The record is from RNAcentral. Lineage: Bacteria; Bacillati; Bacillota; Bacilli; Lactobacillales; Enterococcaceae.